This 72-nucleotide transfer RNA is filed under the name Bos taurus (domestic cattle). It matches the Rfam family "tRNA". From Rfam's summary of the family: Transfer RNA (tRNA) molecules are approximately 80 nucleotides in length. Their secondary structure includes four short double-helical elements and three loops (D, anti-codon, and T loops). Further hydrogen bonds mediate the characteristic L-shaped molecular structure. tRNAs have two regions of fundamental functional importance: the anti-codon, which is responsible for specific mRNA codon recognition, and the 3' end, to which the tRNAs corresponding amino acid is attached (by aminoacyl-tRNA synthetases). tRNAs cope with the degeneracy of the genetic code in two manners: having more than one tRNA (with a specific anti-codon) for a particular amino acid; and 'wobble' base-pairing, i.e. permitting non-standard base-pairing at the 3rd anti-codon position. Lineage: Eukaryota; Metazoa; Chordata; Mammalia; Artiodactyla; Bovidae. RNAcentral also lists the same sequence under 4 other names. The record is from Rfam by way of RNAcentral.
UCCCUGAUGGCCUAGUGGUUAAGACUUUGCCUUCCAAGUCAGGGGGUGCAGGUUUGAUCCCUGGUCAGGGAG